GCUGUUGGAAUGACAAGGACGUCCCCGGGGCCAAACGAAAACAACCCCACCCCCUGCGGCGCCACCCGGCUGGGAGCGGAGAGAGACUGACGGCGGAGGCGGGGGUCAGGGCGCGGACCCGGACCCCAGCCCCAUGGGGGACAGAGUCCAAAAAUAGCUCGCGUCCUUGGUGUUCGCCUUGUCGCAGGAGCCUCGCCAUCGCGCAAUCUGCACUCGCCCCUCUGCAGAUCUAAGGCCAGACCUGGGCCACCCUAACUUCUCGGUAUCUCCUAUUUCUAGAAACCGGCCGGGUGGAGGAUGCAGCCGGGCGUGGUGGCUACAAGGAAGUGCCCUGGUGUUAAGAACUCAGCCUCUGAAACCCGCCGCCCAGCUUCGAGUCAGCGACGUACUUUUGUUGUCCCGGCCUUAGUAUCCCCGCUGCAAUAAGAGUGUAAGCUCCUAAAGGCAGAAAUCAAGCUGACCUAAGCAAAGACCUGAAGGAGCUAUGAGGACAUCUGGCAGAAGAGGUAAUGCUACGGGCAAGAGGCUGGCCAGCGGCUAUAAACAAGUUAAGGGACUCCUCUGAGCCUCAACAUCCCAUCCCUGGAAUGGAGAGAAGGACGUCUGCCCUGCUUAUCUCAAAAGGACAUCGAUGAGAUCAUAGAAGCCCAAGCUGAGGUUACAUCUGAUGCUAAAAACUAGACGAGAAAGGGUCUGUCUGACCCUCAAGGUCAGCAAUGUGUGUGCAACUCCCCUCUCGGGGUCUGGGGACGCAGCCAUGUGUUCCAUCGCACACCAGGCUUUGGGGAUAUUGUAGGGCUCAGACCGCCGACUGCUAGUUUAUUAAAAGAGCAGCUGCCAUCCCGCCGCGCAGUGGGACAGAGAGCUGCAGCCCGGCGCAGGCUCGACCCCGCAGGGAACCGCGACCCGGGGAUAGGCAGCUCUGGACUGCACUGAUCUGGGACUCUGUCGGCUCUACAGACACACACACGCGCGCGCACACACACACACAUGCACACACGCACGCACACACACACGCACGCACAGCCGCUAGGCCUAGAGUUUAUUUUUCCAGGGGCUGGUGGGGACUCCGCUCCCGCGGCGGGCGGCGGCACUGGAAUGUUAAUUGAAACGGAGCUGGCGAGCGCGGCGCAGAUAAGCGUCGCCCAGCAGCGUCCCCGCCUGCGGCUCCCCGAAUCAGCGAUCCGGGAAGGCCCCGCCGCCUCUCUGGCCGCUGAGGGUUUUCUUUUCCACGCUGAAGGAGUGGAACGCGCGCGGAGGCAGCUCGGCGCCCGCAAACCCCCGGAGUCAGCCCCCGACGGUCUGUCCCAGAACUAAACGGUCUCCGCCACCCAAAGCCGAGAAGCUAAGAGGCCGGCUGGGGGAGGGUGACACGGAGAAAUGGAGAAGCCCACCCAGCGGUUACAUACCGGCAGAUUUUUAUUUCCUUUAACUGGUUGGUUCUUCUAAACAUUUAAUGCAAGAAAUCUCUCGGCCCGCUUCACUUUACUCUCCACCCAUGCUCUUCCCCUAACCCUGAGAAUUUUGCACAGAUUUUCGGGGUUCGCGCGGAGCGCCUCUGAAAGUGAUGGCGGACAAACCGUCAAAAAGGCCUCAGCAUAGCAAUUUAGGAAAAGAUCGUAUCAGAUCCUUAAUUCACACCAUACACUCUAAUACACUCGAAAGUAAGCAAAGAAAUUAUAACAAAUACCAGAAUAAAAUAUGGGUGAAUUCCUUUUUAACCUCAGUGUAGGAAAAGAAAGGUCUUCUCACCAUGACUCAAAUCAAGAAGCAAGUAAACAUAACACAAAUGAUUACAUUUUAUAAAAUGCAUGGUAAGAAAUCACUAUAAAAGAAGUCAAAAGACAAUUGUCAAACAGGAAGAAAAUAUUUGCAACAUAUAGCACACAUAACCAAAGUAACUGAUAUUGAGAAAACUUAAAAAUUGAAAUUGGGAGAUGGAUACAAUUUGCGUUUGUGUAUGUAUGUGUAUAUAUUUAUGUGUUUUUAAUUGUUAUGUAUAUUAUACAUGUAUAUGUAUAGAUACAUACACAUAUGUAUAUAUCCCUUAAACAUAUAAAAGGAUGUUGCACCUCACUUGUAAUUAGAGAAAUGCAAAUUAAAAACAACACUGAGAUACUGUUUCUCACCUAUCAAAUUUGUAAGAAUUAAGAGGCAUGAUCAUGCAUUCCGUUGCCCGGGCUAGCUGGGAAGCAGGCACUCCCAUACAGUACUGGUGGAAUGCAAACCUGUAGAACCUUUCUGGAGAGGAGAACUCCUAAAAAUACUAUAUGUGCAUUUAUGUUUCACCUAUGGUCCCAUUUCUUAGAAAUUUGUCUUUCGACAAAUUCAAUUGACAAUUGUCUUUUGACUCUGAAGACAUGCCUCCAACAAUAUAAAAACACAUACAAACUUAUUAUUGUAAAGUACUGGAAAACUCUAAAUACUCAUUCACAGAACAGUGGUUGAAUAAACUUUGGUACAUUCGUGCAAUGGAGUACUAGGCAACUAUAGAAAACAAUAAGGAAGACCUCUUUGGACCAAUAUGAUGUGACUGCUGAAUAUAUUGUUAAGUGAAAAAAAGGUAACGGCAAAAGAGUAUCUUCAAGAAUCAAUGAGAGCUGGGAACAGCUCAUGUUCUGGGGAGGAGGCUGUGCCGGCCAUGGGGCUUUGGGUGUGUGAUUGACUGCAGGUGUGCUUGCCUUGUGGCAGCAGAAAAAGGAUGCACCAGUGAUCAACCCGUCUCUUAAAUAUGGUAAUCAGAUCAACAUCAUAGAUUUUAAUGAUAAAAGUAUCAUUAUAAAUGAAAACGUUAUCCAUCAAGUGGAUGAAAUUAGGCACAUUAAUGCCAGUCCGGCAGACAAAGGUGAGCUGGUGACAUUCUACAAUAAAAGUUAUUGUGUCUUCUCCUGA
This 2892-nucleotide long non-coding RNA is filed under the name Homo sapiens (human). RNAcentral's name for it is "HSALNT0345710". The record is from RNAcentral. Lineage: Eukaryota; Metazoa; Chordata; Mammalia; Primates; Hominidae.